GGUUGGUCCGAGAGUGGUGGGUUAUCGCUCAUGAGUGUUGUUCCCCCCCACCACUGCGUUUGACUAACUACGGUUUU
This 77-nucleotide Y RNA is filed under the name Notamacropus eugenii (tammar wallaby). RNAcentral describes it as "Y RNA (ENSMEUG00000018334.1)". It matches the Rfam family "Y RNA". From Rfam's summary of the family: Y RNAs are components of the Ro ribonucleoprotein particle (Ro RNP), in association with Ro60 and La proteins. The Y RNAs and Ro60 and La proteins are well conserved, but the function of the Ro RNP is not known. Lineage: Eukaryota; Metazoa; Chordata; Mammalia; Diprotodontia; Macropodidae. The record is from RNAcentral.